ACGUCUGAUGGAGCACGCCGCGUGAGUGAAGAAGGGUUUCGGCUCGUAAAACUCUGUUGUUAAAGAAGAACAUAUCUGAGAGUAACUGUUCAGGUAUUGACGGUAUUUAACCAGAAAGCCACGGCUAACUACGUGCCAGCAGCCGCGGUAAUACGUAGGUGGCAAGCGUUGUCCGGAUUUAUUGGGCGUAAAGCGAGCGCAGGCGGUUUUUUAAGUCUGAUGUGAAAGCCUUCGGCUCAACCGAAGAAGUGCAUCGGAAACUGGGAAACUUGAGUGCAGAAGAGGACAGUGGAACUCCAUGUGUAGCGGUGAAAUGCGUAGAUAUAUGGAAGAACACCAGUGGCGAAGGCGGCUGUCUGGUCUGUAACUGACGCUGAGGCUCGAAAGUAUGGGUAGCAAACAGGAUUAGAUACCCUGGUAGUCCAUACCGUAAACGAUGAAUGCUAAGUGUUGGAGGGUUUCCGCCCUUCAGUGCUGCAGCUAACGCAUUAAGCAUUCCGCCUGGGGAGUACGGCCGCAAGGCUGAAACUCAAAGGAAUUGACGGGGGCCCGCACAAGCGGUGGAGCAUGUGGUUUAAUUCGAAGCUACGCGAAGAACCUUACCAGGUCUUGACAUACUAUGCAAAUCUAAGAGAUUAGACGUUCCCUUCGGGGACAUGGAUACAGGUGGUGCAUGGUUGUCGUCAGCUCGUGUCGUGAGAUGUUGGGUUAAGUCCCGCAACGAGCGCAACCCUUAUUAUCAGUUGCCAGCAUUAAGUUGGGCACUCUGGUGAGACUGCCGGUGACAAACCGGAGGAAGGUGGGGAUGACGUCAAAUCAUCAUGCCCCUUAUGACCUGGGCUACACACGUGCUACAAUGGAUGGUACAACGAGUUGCGAACUCGCGAGAGUAAGCUAAUCUCUUAAAGCCAUUCUCAGUUCGGAUUGUAGGCUGCA
Molecule: ribosomal RNA, 936 nt
Filed under: Lactiplantibacillus plantarum
Lineage: Bacteria; Bacillati; Bacillota; Bacilli; Lactobacillales; Lactobacillaceae
Description: bacterial SSU rRNA
Rfam family: Bacterial small subunit ribosomal RNA
Source: RNAcentral